GAUGAACGCUGGCGGCGUGCCUAAUACAUGCAAGUCGAGCGAACGGACGAGAACCUUGCUUCUCUGAUGUUAGCGGCGGACGGGUGAGUAACACGUGGAUAACCUACCUAUAAGACUGGGAUAACUUCGGGAAACCGGAGCUAAUACCGGAUAAUAUUUUGAACCGCAUGGUUCAAAAGUGAAAGACGGUCUUGCUGUCACUUAUAGAUGGAUCCGCGCUGCAUUAGCUAGUUGGUAAGGUAACGGCUUACCAAGGCAACGAUGCAUAGCCGACCUGAGAGGGUGAUCGGCCACACUGGAACUGAGACACGGUCCAGACUCCUACGGGAGGCAGCAGUAGGGAAUCUUCCGCAAUGGGCGAAAGCCUGACGGAGCAACGCCGCGUGAGUGAUGAAGGUCUUCGGAUCGUAAAACUCUGUUAUUAGGGAAGAACAUAUGUGUAAGUAACUGUGCACAUCUUGACGGUACCUAAUCAGAAAGCCACGGCUAACUACGUGCCAGCAGCCGCGGUAAUACGUAGGUGGCAAGCGUUAUCCGGAAUUAUUGGGCGUAAAGCGCGCGUAGGCGGUUUUUUAAGUCUGAUGUGAAAGCCCACGGCUCAACCGUGGAGGGUCAUUGGAAACUGGAAAACUUGAGUGCAGAAGAGGAAAGUGGAAUUCCAUGUGUAGCGGUGAAAUGCGCAGAGAUAUGGAGGAACACCAGUGGCGAAGGCGACUUUCUGGUCUGUAACUGACGCUGAUGUGCGAAAGCGUGGGGAUCAAACAGGAUUAGAUACCCUGGUAGUCCACGCCGUAAACGAUGAGUGCUAAGUGUUAGGGGGUUUCCGCCCCUUAGUGCUGCAGCUAACGCAUUAAGCACUCCGCCUGGGGAGUACGACCGCAAGGUUGAAACUCAAAGGAAUUGACGGGGACCCGCACAAGCGGUGGAGCAUGUGGUUUAAUUCGAAGCAACGCGAAGAACCUUACCAAAUCUUGACAUCCUUUGACAACUCUAGAGAUAGAGCCUUCCCCUUCGGGGGACAAAGUGACAGGUGGUGCAUGGUUGUCGUCAGCUCGUGUCGUGAGAUGUUGGGUUAAGUCCCGCAACGAGCGCAACCCUUAAGCUUAGUUGCCAUCAUUAAGUUGGGCACUCUAAGUUGACUGCCGGUGACAAACCGGAGGAAGGUGGGGAUGACGUCAAAUCAUCAUGCCCCUUAUGAUUUGGGCUACACACGUGCUACAAUGGACAGUACAAAGGGCAGCGAAACCGCGAGGUCAAGCAAAUCCCAUAAAGUUGUUCUCAGUUCGGAUUGUAGUCUGCAACUCGACUACAUGAAGCUGGAAUCGCUAGUAAUCGUAGAUCAGCAUGCUCCGGAGAGGACGUUCCCGGGUCU
Molecule: ribosomal RNA, 1372 nt
Filed under: uncultured bacterium
Lineage: Bacteria
Description: bacterial SSU rRNA
Rfam family: Bacterial small subunit ribosomal RNA
Source: RNAcentral